Prionailurus viverrinus (fishing cat) is the source of this 11400-nucleotide long non-coding RNA. RefSeq lists it as uncharacterized. The transcript is spliced from 3 exons. NCBI's taxonomy places the organism in Eukaryota, Metazoa, Chordata, Mammalia, Carnivora, Felidae. The record is from RefSeq and is a predicted model, not a curated record.
UUCCACUCCGAGGAGAGCUUCUGGGAGAAACCGGCAGGAAGGACACGAGACACCAGGAAAGUUGAGAUACAAAUGCUGGUGAGGCCAGCUAACUGGAAGAACUCAAGGGAGUCACUAAGUAUUGGUGCAAACUAAUAAAAAGAAAAACCACUGAUAGGACAUGGUGUGCAUUCUUUACUAGCCUGAAAAACCCUAAGGAUUACACAGGUCAGGAGGUCACCCCUGCGUGUCUGCAAACACACAGACCUCGGCAGAUAGCAGUGUGGCGCAGGGACCAUCUGCCAAGCUGUGCUCCGCGUACGCGCACAGACACCCUGGAAGAGUAAAGAAACAAGCUUCUUGUCUGAUUCAGGAUGUUGCUCAUGCUCAGUCAGACCUGCCUGACACAGCCACAGUGGCUUUUCUGGAAAACUGACAUCUCAAGUAGCCUCAUAUGGGAGGUGUCUCCAGACCCAGCCGGCAUCUUCAGGGUAAUUAUUGUUGUUACCAUGUACGGGGGGUUUCCAAGUGUUAGGCACAUUUCAGGCUCUUUGUUUAUAUUAUUCCUGAUCUGUACAAUAAUGUAAGAAACUAUUUUAUCUCCAUUUUCCAGAUGGAGAAAUGGAGGUUUUGGAAGACUGGGCAUGCUGGUAAGUGGUAAAGCUGAAACCGGAACCCAACUGUCUGGGCCACAUGAGCAUAACAAGGGCCAGACACACACUGUCCACUUCCUGUGGGCUGUGCUGGGCCACCACUCAAUCCUGGCAUCCUGUUCCACAGCAAGGAAGCCACAGUGGUCGCUCUUACAGGGGUGUCUCUAGGCUGGGCCUUAGAGACGUUAGAGGAGGCUCUUCAUCUGAUGUCAGGCUCAUGCCUGACUUCACAAUUGAGUGCGGAAGGGCUGAGUGGAAUGACAGGUCUGCCCAGCAGCUAGCAGGGGGGUGGGCGUGUGCCUGGUAGGGCUCCGCUGUAAUGACUCUCCAUUAGGCCCAACCAGGUAAGAGCUCACACAUCAUUUCAGUGAGGGCUGAUCAAAAGAGAAGGGAGUAAGUCAACUUCCUUGAAAAAUCCUUUCUUGGGGGUGACUGGAAGAAAGAAAACUGCUCUCUGGUUUGUUAUCUCUUACUGGUAAGAAAUCCUAGCAAGAGACUCUUCCCAGUGUUCAGAUUCUGCCCCUAAAUCUCUCAGCAAUUGACUCUGGUUGGCAGUGGCCAAGUAUCGUUCUAAAACCAGAGAAACAGAGUGAUUCUCAUUUUGGGGGACGGAGAUGACAGGCAGCAUGACAGAAAUCUUAGAUGGUGAGCAAACCAGGAAGAAAGGGUUCAGGGCCAAGCUCAUUGUUAGCAGGAUUAGAACAGCUCAGGUAGCUGUGAGGGGCAGGUGGGAAUACCACAGUUUGAGAUGGUAGGGCAGCCUAGGGCAGGGGCUAACAGCCCAGGGUCUGCAGACAGACCUGGAUUCAAACUCUGCCCAUCCAGGCAUGAGAGAUCAGGCCGUUACUGAAUGGAUAUAGUACUUCCUCUGUAAAGGGCAGAUGAUCAUAAGAAGAGCUUCAUCAGGUUCUCGUGGGGAGAAAAUCACAGUGCCUGGCCCAUAAUACACAGUUUAUCAAAUGUCCUGAUUAUGAGAUACCAGUAUAUUAUAUGCAGAAGCUACCGAGUAAUUGCAAAAUCACUUUGUAGAAAUGUUCAAGAAGCAGAAAAAUCAAUCAGGGUAUGAGUCUGUCGCCACAAUCAUUUCAGAGGUUUUGAAAUGAUCCCCGUGUAGACAUGGCCUGAUGGCUGUAGGUCGAUCUUGGGAUUUAAAACCCUGAGCAGGGCCCCUGAGCCCUGCAAGACACAGGAGGACUCUGUCCUGCACUACUUCCCCCUUUCUCCCGGGAUGUGCAUGCUGUUGCCCCAACAAGGUGGGUGUGACAGCUGCAGAAGCAGGUGAAAAGGGGGACGGGAGCUACUCACCGCUCGGUACUUGACCAGGUAGUGCCUGAUGGGGGAGCCGCCGUCAUCCUGUUUGAUCAGAUUCACCUUAAUAGAGUUUCCAUCCUCUCCCAUCUGCCCUUCCAGUUUAGGUGCACUGGGUUCCCCUGCAACAGCCAGUUAAUUCAUGUGACAUAUUCGCCCACACGAAGAAAAUCCAACCCAGAAUGGGAUGGAGUGAUGGGGUGGGGCUGGGCUCUUUCUUGCUUUCUCAGAAAUUCAAAUGGUUAAAAAGCAAUAAAUAUAAAACUUCAGAUUCCAGUGAGAUACCUCAGACUUAGCCCCAAACUGGGAGUGACUUUUGGGAAUGUUCUGGGAAACCCUAUUAGCACAGUCCUUUUACCAUUUUAGAAACAGGAUUUUUUAAAAACUGUUUCUCACUGGUGCUUGCAUUUCCUUUUUGCUGUUCUUACAACUGCAGAUUUAACUUUGAUGAGCCUGAUGCAUUUUGAGGAACAGCCUGAAAUGCAGGCAAAUGUGCGUAAGUGUUUAAAGGAGAAAACCUACACCCAUAAAAUAAUUCUUCACAGCAGCCAGUUUCUUCCCUGGAUACGUGAUUCAUCUCAGGGGGCUGGGGGACCCAUCCCUAACGGGGACGGAAUGACACUGCAUUCUUGUGACCAGCUUUCCAUGAGUUAAAUUGCAUUACUUAGACUCAUUCAUAUAAAAACGUGACAAGUUUCCAGGUGUGAUUAAAUAAAGCACAAUUUGCCACGGGCAAGUCUCCCCUGUAAGCAUCCUGCAUUUACGGCUCAACUGCCUGAGUGAUAAUCCUUGGUACCUUGUUUAAAGUAACAAUCAUGAAAGUCUUUCUGUUUGUGAGCAGAGAGAGGGAAAAAAUGGCUUCAGCAUUUCUCAACAGAAAAAAGUCGAUGUCUCUACCUGUGGUAUACACUCAGCUCGUGAACCCGAGACAGAGGAGGAAGGUGAGCUCGGUACGGACGAAUUACCAGAGGUGGGAUGCUUCUUCAGUAAAUAAGAUGCCGACUUUCUUUAAGAGAAACUGUCUCACUAGUGUGUACUGGGAGUAAUGAGGUAAGAGAAUGUCUGGUAUGAAAAGUUAAAAUGAAGACUUAACGCAUUUGGGAAUUCUGCACUUCCUUCAGAGACACACAUCUCUGUGUCUAUUUCAUGUCCUCAGACAGAAAAUUGGGAGAGCCUACAAGAAGUCACCUUCUGGGAGGGUUGUCCUGGCUCGUUCACUGGAAGACAGAAUCACAGACAUGUAACCAAAGAACCCAGAAAGGUUUGUCGCCAGGCUUUGGACCUCAUCACCCCAAGGUAUACCUCUGGCCAUUUGUGGCAAGGCUGCUGGCAAAGCCAUUCAGCCCACCUUCCUCAUUCAGCUACUCUGGGAACCUCACAGUGGCCUUGUGUCUUGCUCCCCACUUUGAGACAAGGAGGAACCAGACAGGGAAAGCUAUUGGCCAGCCCUUGCUGCUCAGCCUGGGCCUGUAGCACGAACCCCACGUGGCAGCUCCUUAGACAUGCAGAUUCCGUUUCAACAAGAUCCCAAGGUGAUCCUUGUGCACCUUUAGGUGAUGGGGACACACAGAAGCUGACAGGGAAGGUGCAUCCCCUUAAUGUCAGGGGUGAUUUAGGAAGUCAGGCUUGUAAUUGGUGUUCCUCCAUCAGCAAUUAAAAAAAAAAAGACAAAGAAAAAAAUGACAAGGUUUUAGGCAAGGUUUUAGGCAAAGACUUGUCCUGUUUUCAUGUUGCUACCCAGCUGCUGGUCCCAACUAUUCUUUGGAAAAUUCUGAGGAAUUUGGUUUCGAUAAUGUUAAGGCAGGUAUGCUUUUCAGAUUCUUUUGGACCAUCCUAAGCCUUAGACAACAGUUGUGUCUUAUAUCAUUGUAAAUAUCCAGGGCUAGAAAGGAACUCAAACAAAGUGGAGGAUAUUUCAGAACCGGGCAGGUCUACACAGUCACAGAUGGCAGGAGUAGGCACAGUUGAACUGGAUAGCUCUGUUCUCUGAAUGCAGGGGACAGACUGGUUCUGGCUGGCCUGGGACUUCCAGGUGUGAGCCUCACAAGUCCUGCACUCAGGCUGACUGGGAGAGCUCACGGCCCCAGACUGAAUGGGGAUGGACAUUAACGAGGACUUUUGUAUUCAGAAUUGCAACACUGACUCUGUGAUGCUCGAUUUGCCUUAAGGAGGGAAGGCAGUGGCAUCAGUGGCCCUGCCAACACAGUCAUGGGGCGAGGACCCGGUCCUUACCCCAAAGCUUCCUUGGAAGGUAAACGGAGAUUAAUCUGCUGGGGCUGCUCUGGCUGCACUUUCCUUAUGAUUUCCUUCCAGAUUUGAGCAGCGUGGGUUUCAAGGCUGAAUCAAGACCACAGAACACUGGACCCUGCUUUGGGAGUGGGUGGGGGGUUUGUAUCUACUUAGAAGAGGUACUCCCUUUCAUGUCUGUGGGGAUCCCUGUAAAACUGAAUGCUUGGACAGGCCACUGCCUCAGUACCCACGUUUGCAGAAUCCAUGCCCCGAACGAGGUGUUCUCCAGGGCCCCCCUCUGGCUCUGACAGCACUGUGACCCAAUGACAGUCACUGUGUUAGGACAAACUAUCAAGAACACCUUGGCUAUUUUCAAAACACUGUGAAAGACAGAUGCAAAAUAAGGAUGGCCCUGCCAAUUUCGGGGCAAUGUAUCCCCAGACCAGCAAUUCCACAUCUCUAAGGCACAGGGUUGUCCGUUUUUCUUUACAAUUUUAAAAGUUAUCCUCCCCAAAGUCCUAUCUUUGCAAAGAGACCCCAACUGUCUUCAGAGACAUGGGAACAAAUAUCUUGCCAAGGAUUCCCUGCAGAAACUAACAGCCCCGAUGAAAGCAGUCAAAUCUUAUCUUUGGAUGUGUUUCAGAAAAAAUAUGAUUGGAACCACAAAGAAACCACUAACAACUAUUCCACAGAACACAGUUCUAACAUUUACCAAAGUUGGAACACUAUCAUUGCUAUUAUAUUGGAGCGACUACCAUGUUAUUCUGAUAUACGUGUAUUUCUUUCUUACAGAAUGUAGAGCAUGGCAUAUAAUAUUUACAUGUAUCAUUUAAAGUGCUUUAACUAUGAUUUACUCAACAAACGUUUACGGAGUACCUACCUCCCAGGUACCAGAUAAUCUCUUAGGCAUUGGAGUUUCAAAGGUAAACAAGACAAAGUUCGGUUUGUCAAAAGAAAAGAAGAAACCUAGUUAUGCUCAACUCUUUUUAAAAAUGGCGGGGCCCUUGUACGGAAAGGUAACCCUUCCUGUGACGGUGUUUCUAGAGGAAGAUGACCUUCAACUAACAUCAGAGGGAUUCUGACCAACUCUACACAACUUGUAGUCACAUAAAGGUGGAGAAAGAGCAAUAUUUAAACAAUUGUCUUCUCCAUCUUCAAAUGCACACACUCUGUCCAUUUUUCUCAAGAUUACGAAUAGGCUAAAGGAAUUGCUUCCUGAGCUGUCGGCGAAAAGGAGACUCUAGCCAUACCUGAUGAGGGAUGGGCUGACCCGGAAGAAAUGGGGCCUUGGCAUUUGGGUGGCUCACUGCUUUGCUGAACACAUUAGGAGAGGAAAUUAUUUAGAGGGUCCCAAUGUGCACUCUGUUCUGAAAUGGCUGCCCUGAUUGAAAUCAUUAUGGGUAAUUUCCGCAAAACCAAUAUUGUAAUUAUUUGUAAAUGUUGGUUUGCGAUUCAGCAGCAAUCGGCAGGUUGCUCCAAGAAAACCCCUGCGGUUAAUUACACCUUCUGAAUUUAGCUUCAGCCAUGAGUCAAAUUUUGCCCCCAAAUAUUUCACGUAAAGACUCAAAACAACAUCACCUUAAAAAUAAGCCUUGCCGAUAACAAAUACAAAAUAUUAGGCAACUCUGGUAUUUUCUAGAAGAGUGCAAAUCACGGAUGCAAGAAAAGAAGAAUGUACCAUUGAGACCACAUACAGUCAGAAAUGUGGCAGGCUCGUCCUAUAAAUUCCUCCCAGAAAUCGUAAUUGAAGUGUGUAUUUCUGGCCUUGCAGAUUGUAGGUUCUUUGUAAUUUGUGUGCUAUUGUGCCCUAAAAUCUGAGUCAGCUUCAAUUCCUUCCCCUCGUCAGCACAAGUCCGGAGGUCAGAAAACUACUGCUGGGUACCUGAAUUCCACAACAGAAAUUAUAGCAGGCUUAGGGGGUCUGGACAGCAUCUGUGAAUUUUAGAAGGAAAACAAUCUUCUACUUCUUACUCAAAAACGCCCAAGUACCAAGAAGUAUACCUUCUGACUGAAAUGCCGAGGUGCCCCGUGGCAUCCCUGACAGAGGCCUGACCUGCAUUCUUUUUACCUGACCUUUGCUUUCUCUCCCACAGGGACCUGCACAGACUUCGGGGCCUCUGAGUAUAAACCAGUGAUGGAGAUAGGGCUUGCAUUAGAAUCUAUCACAUUUUCCAUCAAUCAGGAUUGUCUGGCAUCAAAAAUACUGUUACUUUUGUUUAUCUUAACUCCUGUUCCCCUUUGGUCCAUUACACCCUGCAAGCAAUGUGAAACUUACGUAUGCCUUUUCUAUUAUUUGUUUAGAAGAGUACAAAAUGUAUGACUUGGCUGUUCAAGUAUGAAGCCCAUUUGAUUUUUCCCAACUCAGGAACAUUCGAAAUUACAUCAAGAGGUUAGACGUUUGAUCAGCCUUAGGAUCUGUAGCUAUGAGGCUGCUGAUUGUCCUUCCUAAGACCAGGCUCUUUGCCGAACAGAUGAAUCUAGUGGGAUCUGUGCUGCUUUCAUCCUUGGAGCCUCAAACGCUCUGGGACGCCCCCUGUGACAACCCGCCUGGCUGAGGGGGCUUUCUGACAGUCCCGGCGAGCGGCUGUCAGUCCGAACAUACCCAACCCUGGACGGGGUUCAUUCUGUCCUAAGCAUUGCUCCUCCAGAUCGGGCCUGGGGAAUAAAUGCUCCUUUUCUCCUGAGCUCUUUCCUCCUUGUUGUCAAGAAUAUGCUUGUGCCAGUGCCAGCUGACUAACUGCCAUCCUGGUCUCCGGCUCCAAGGAACGCCAAGGGAUGCAGGGAGUGCAUAUAAGCCAUGGCCAAUUCCUUGGCUCUCCACAGAAAGGACGCGUAGCCCUGUGGCCACGCUCACGGGGGCAUCCAGCCUACACAUCUCUCUCAAAUCGGGCUCCUCAGGAACUACGAACGUGAGCGUGUGAGCUGGGGGUGGGUGGGGAGGCCAGUGGCAGGAAGGGAUAUGAACUGAACAGCAAAAGAUGAACUCUGACAGACUGAACCACAGAGAUAUCAAUUCCCUUCUCGUGGGUGUCAUGAAAACACCACCAGAUUAGCUGAUCAAUUAUCUCUGUUUCAUCAUCAUCCUAAAAAUGAAAAUAGGACCAAGAAAGUAUGGCUUGUGGUUAUGGGGCUGAUCCAGGCUGAGGAAGUUAGGACCCAAAUAACCUCCAACAAUUAACUCGGCUCCCGCCUGCGAGGCCGCCAAGGGGAGUCUGUGCACAUCUUCAACACGAUUUCACGGACAUUAGGUUACUUAUAAAGAAGUACAAAGCUCCUGGGAAGCCCUAGGGAAACGGGCCCUUUGCAGAGCCCCCGGCCUCUGCCCCCAGGAUUCGGGCCGACACGCUUCACUGCCUCCCCUCUGCAGACCCUUCACGCUAGCUCUCUACCCUGUAACCGCCAGUGCGGGGAAUCCUUAAGAAUAAAGGCAAUUAGAGCAGAGCCCUGGUGAAAAGUCUGUGUCGACCUGCCAGAGACCGUGGCAAUCCAGACACACAGCUGUAAAAAAAAUAAAUAAAUAAAUAAAGGAAGGAGUGGAAGGGGUGGUUAGUGAUGUUUUCAAUCUAAGAAGGAAGAGUGGGUGUUAAGGAGCUUAGUUCACCAGAAUCAGCAUGUCCUAGUACGAGAGGCAGUGUCAGUAGCUAAAGAAAAGAAGAUCAUUAUGAAUGGGGGGGGGGGUGAUCCAUGCUAAAACAUGCAGCACACAGAGGGGCGCAGGGGGCUUCUCAUCACACACAUGCUGGCGGUGGGGAGGGUGGGGAGGCCCGUUUACUUACACAGAGUCCUCAUAGGUGACAGAGUCAUUGGAGGAAGGAGGCCCGGCCACGACGAGGUGCCGUGAUAUUAAAAAUCAACUUGGCACGGGAGCAUCUUAGCUCACCACAGCAACCCCACUCCUGGGAUCCUGGGACAGGUGCCUAAGUUUCCCCAUCACGAACCCCUAUUUGCAAAGCUCUACAGGUUCAGGACUAAGGGAGCCAAGGGCAUGGCGUCCAAUGCCUGUUUUCACCUCCCUUCUGACCCCGUGCUGCCGAACCCAGUCAACACUGUGGACGGGAACCUGAGAUUUACACAACACGCAGCCUGUGUCAAGGGCAUCCUAGAGCUAGUGUGUGUGUGUGUGUGCGUGUGCGUGCGCGUGUGUGGAGGGGGCAGUGGUGGAACAGGAACUGGAUUUCAUCACCUGUCGGAUGUACACCCCUCUGCUGGGAGAUGCACCUGCUCACUUACCCAUCCUCAGGCCCCACUCACCUGAAAGCCUUGCUAGUGUUCAGAGAAAGGAGGCAAGCACUGUUUUUCACGAAGCUUCAUUUCUCUCCGUGAAUUUUACUCGCUACGACCCUCUCCAGUCCCUUAAAUUGUAUUAUUAAGGGCCAUUUCUGGCUGCUUGCUGCUCAUCUGAAUAAUGAGUCCUCCGCCUGUCCCUUUGCAAAUGCACUGGCCACAUUUUUACUGACACCCAAGACCAUUGCUACAGUGCAUUUCUGAGGCAACCGCAGGAAACAUCUUCAAACAUUUCUUGCCUGGCUUAGAAUGUCUGGAAGAGAUCUCUGUCCAGAGGGGUGGAUCUGUUUCAACCUUGCUCAUGUUGUACUCUGCUUCGUCCUGAAUUCUAGCACUGCACAGAAAUAACCAAACUUGUUUUUAAGAAAGAAACGAAUGGGUUUCAACCCAACACCUCACCCUUCAGAUCUCAGGGAGAAAAUCCGGGUUUUCCCUUGGAACAGUCAUCUCAAGUCUUUAGAAGAACACAGUCCCCCUCAGAGAAAUAAUGAAACCACAGGAUGUGGAGUGAGACUCGGGAGUUUAGAAAAUCUUAGGCUCCCAGUAUCCCCUACCCUAAGGUUCACAGAUUAGGUUGCCUUUUGAAGGUAGGUCAAAGUCAUUAGCACGUCAGAUGUUCCCCUGCUUUGGGGACACACCCACUUAAUUUCAGACAGCGUAAAUACCACACAUCUUUUUGGAAGUGACAGACGGCUCCAACCCAAGACCUCGUCCAGGAGUCUGGUUGUAAACGGGACUCAACAUGGGCACAGUGACCACACCCAGAAAGCUGACAUCCUCAGAGGUGGUCAGUGUGCAGGAUGAGCAAGAGGGAGCAUCCACAGGGCUCACACGCACAGGGGCACAAAAUGAGAGGACAGACCAGGAACAGAGAACAUGCAUGCAACAGCUAUGGAUGGUUUUGUCUGUGUGAAUGUCGCCCAGUCAGUUCCUUGGAGACGUGAGGCCAGACGGGGACCCCUCGCAUGCACGGGCACACUGGGCGGUUAUUCGUGUUAGUCUGGCUUUCGUGAUCAGUGCAGCCUGUGUGUCUCAGGUUGUGAUGUGACGUAACAAUUUUCAGUUAGAAGAGAACAGAAUGCAUGUGACUCCCAGGGCAGGUUUUGAAUAGGUGUUUGAUUUUACAGUGGGGAAGUUGCAAGCAGAGGCUUCCUUUUCUCUUUAUGGUAAACGAGAAAUGUUUUCACAGGGUUGUGACAGUCACAAUAUUAACUAAUUAUUUUGUCACGGCUAUGCGCUUAAUUAGGCUAUAAUUUUAUUUCCUUUGCUGCAAGGGUCAAUCAUGUGCUUCUUGAUUACAAAGAGAUCUCCAGUCAUGGUUAACUGCCAACUUUUGCUUUGAUUUCUAACCCCCACUGUCCAGGGGGGGAGGGUCACUCUUAAAAAGUGACACAUCAACAAUGCAAACUGCUUUCAUUCCAAAUUCUUAAAUCUCUCCCUUCAGAAAGUCCUCAAUUUGCAUGAAUUUUAUGAAGCACUCUCAUUGGUUUUGAGCAAAUAGAACCUUUGCAAUUGAUACACUUCUCUCUGUAGCAUUUCAGUGUUGUAAACAGAUACAUUUCACAUUUUCACAGAAAUGACUCAUUUUAGAGCAGCUGUGGUUUUCAGAACUACUGGAUAAAGUUAAACAACAAUGUCAUAAAGGUCACUGAAAAAAACCGCUUUCUGGGAAGUAAUUUUUAUGAACUCUCUGGUAAAAAUUCAAGUUUGCAAACUGUGUGGUGGUAAAUGUGGUUUUGCUGUGGAUGGCAGUUUGUAGGGCCAAGUUUCUUGGAGCGAAAUGUUAAACCAAAGCCUGCCACGGUAUCAAAUUGUCAUGUCAAGGCUGCAAAGAAUUGAUGGAUUCUAGAGGUGAACUGAGAACAAGAGGAAAUCUUUCAAAUGGCUUCGCUUGGGAAAUCUGAGACGGGAAGAAAUGAGUGGGCCCUAGGUGCCAGGCUGCGGUCCCAGGUUUAUUUCCCUAAUCAGAACAAAGAGUUUUACCUUCUGUUCACCAGCGUGGACGACAUCAUCAGCACCAUGCAAGCCACAUGACAAAGUCACAUGAUACGCACGCACAUGAUUGGUUGAAAGGAAAGUGGAGGAGGUCACAUGGAAAAUACAAAAAAAUUAAAAACUGAUGUAAACAAUGGGCAGGGAGAAAAAUCAACAACAAAAUCACAGACUAAAUAAAAGGAGAAAUCAAAUUAAAUUAGCAGCAUAUAUAGGAAACAUUGGGAGGACAGUAAAACUGCCCAGAAAUAGAAGGAUAAUAAAUCGUAAAGAGCAUUUGGUUAACGACACCAAUAAGCAUUAGAUACGGCUGCAACACUGCAUAUUAAUACCACAUCAAGGAGUAUGUAAACUUAUUUGGAAAUAGGGAGGUGUUUCUGCCGGGACCCAGAUGUCAAAGUCAAUCCAGGAGACUGCUGAAGGAAAAAAAAAAAAAAGCAAGUUAUUAUUCACAGAUUCCAGAAAUCUCUCGGCAUCCUUGGGAAACAAGGGCAAUCAAGGAGAACAUGGGUCGUGCAGGAGAAGUCUCCAGACUGUGUGUCCUGUAAGAACAAAAUAUUACGUUACACUGAGAAAAGCCAUUGCCUGUUUCCUUUGGUGCAUGAGGAGAGGGGGAGUGGGCGCAGGCCAGAGGAGGCAGCCCUGGGGAUUCCCUCCUCGCUUUCCAGUUCAUCUACCCGCAUUAUCCCGGAGCUCCCAGUGACAGCCCCGUUGAGACACCUGUGAAGGCAGAGGCUAGUCAUUGCACAAAGGGACGAGGUUUCCUUCUGGUGGUCAAGACAGUGGCUCCAUCAACACUGAGGAGCGAAACUGAAUGGACCCCCUGGCCCCACGAGCUAAGACUCUGACCCUGACCAAGUGCUUGGGCAUUGGUGGACAUAGUUAUCUCUCCAGACUUGUGGCUGCACUUGAUAAGAUAUGGAUUUGAUUGUGAUCAUUAAAAAAAAUGUUUGGA